GAUUAACGCUGGCGGCGUGCAUAACACAUGCAAGUCGAACGAUGAAACUUAACUGAUUUCUUCGGAAUGAUUUUAAGUGGAUUAGUGGCGGACGGGUGAGUAACGCGUGAGUAACCUGCCUUGGAGAAGGGGAUAGCCUUUGGAAACGAAGAAUAAUACCCUAUGAUAUGAUAAUAUCUCAUGAUAUUAUCAUCAAAGAUUUAUCGCUCUAAGAUGGACUUGCGUCUGAUUAGUUAGUUGGUGAGGUAACAGCUCACCAAGGCAGCGAUCAGUAGCCGGCUUGAGAGAGUGGACGGCCACAUUGGGACUGAGACACGGCCCAGACUCCUACGGGAGGCAGCAGUGGGGAAUUUUGCACAAUGGGGGAAACCCUGAUGCAGCGACGCCGCGUGAUUUAGAAGGCCUUCGGGUUGUAAAAAUCUUUUGUAUGGGAAGAAAAUGACAGUACCAUACGAAUAAGGACCGGCUAAUUACGU
Molecule: ribosomal RNA, 476 nt
Filed under: uncultured bacterium
Lineage: Bacteria
Description: partial 16S ribosomal RNA
Rfam family: Bacterial small subunit ribosomal RNA
Source: RNAcentral